RNAcentral lists this long non-coding RNA (11484 nucleotides) under Octopus vulgaris (common octopus). The record is from RNAcentral. Lineage: Eukaryota; Metazoa; Mollusca; Cephalopoda; Octopoda; Octopodidae.
AUAUACAAUGCUCAAGUGCACUACAAGUUGUCAGAAAAGGAUAAAAAGAGAGGACAGAAAGCAGCAGUAAUAGCCAAAAAUUACAUGCCUUCUGCAUAAUAUAAAACACAAAACAACAAAGGUGAACAGUAAAUGGGUCAUAAAGAGAAAGGGUGCACCGACACAUCAGGGGUAAUGUUAGCAAAUUUCAGAAAGUAUGGAGUUUUUUAAGGAUGUAGUGUCCUGACAGUUAAGAACAAAUGUAGAUAGUAUAUUCCAUACUUUGACAAUUCUGAGUGGGAUUUUAUAAGCAUGUAUGGCAGAUGUUGAAUUCAAAAUGGUGAUCAAAAUUAUUGGAAAAGAUGGUGAGGAAUCUUGCAAGUUUUACUAAGUCAGCUGCUAGAUAUUGAAGCCCUGAGAUGCAAGAUGUUUAAGAUAUGCUAGGUGACUGAGGGAAGGUAUGUCUCUGAACAGCAUCAUCAUCAUUUAAUGUCCUUUUUUUUUCAUGCUGGCAUGGUUGGACAGUUUAACAGGAGCUGGUAAUGCAGGGGCUGCACCAGACUCCAUUGUCUGUUCUGGCAUGGUUUCUAUGGCUCAUUGCCCUUCUUAAAACCAACCACUUUACAGUGUGUAAUGAGUAAUUUUAAUAUGGCACCAGCACCAGUGCUUUUAAUGUGGUACCAGCACAACUAAUAUUCUGGACAAGAUGAGGGUUCAGGACUUGAGAUGAAAACUGUAAGUGUAGAUGUACUACAGCCAUUUACAGCUUUAAAUAGACAACCAGUGAUUGAUUGGCAAAGUUCUUACUGCAUGAUGUUACAUUUAUACCUGAGAAUGAGUUUGCUGAGCUAUUGGAAUCUUUAGUUAUGUUGGAUGUAGGCAUUUUCCAAGAUGGCUAAGCUAUAUGAAAUUGCUUUAAAAAAAUGCUAUUCUAGUAAACAAAAUCAGAUAUUCAAAUAGCUUAUUUGAUUAAAUAAUGUCAUUAAAAAGGAGAAAUGUAUAUAGUUAGGUUUUUGUAUGUGCCCAUGCACAUUACACACACAUACACGUGUGUAUGUAUGUAUAUGCAAAAGAUAUGAUUUUACUUACCAUAAUAGUAAAUUUUUUUGCAAUUUAUACGUUUUAUCCAUCUUUAUAUAUAUAUUUACACUUUCUUCAUUAUUCAGUGGAGAGCAGUUAAAAAUAUCCUCUGAGGCUAAAUGCUAAUUCAAACUAUCUGAACUAUAUAGUCUAGACUUAUAUAGCUUUGAAUUUCUCAUAUUUUCUAUCAUUAAAUUGUUACUCAUCUACCAUGUUUCUUCAAACUACCUUAAAUUUAUUCCUGCUGUGUGAAUUGUAAUCAGUAUUAACUGAAAAAAAAUAUUUUACUUUUGUAAUAUACAUGUUGCUAGCUGUUUAGAAAUUUCAGAAAUCUUUAGUUUUUUUCUUGGUCACGUAAAGUGGUAUUUUCUAUUUUUAGCUAUAAAUUUGGUUUCAAAUCAAUAAGUUUACUUAUCAAGGUAAUUUUUAUUAUUGAAAAAUCAAUUUUUUUGCAGGGUUUUAAGUUUACAUUUUGAUCAGCCAGAUCAAAUCAUAUACAAGCUGUGCACUUUGAACCUCUCUGUAAAUACACUAUCCCCUUUUUUCCCUCCCAUAUACACUUUAACCCACACCUCUUCUUCAUAUGCAGUGGGAUUUAGCAUUUACUUAUUCAAACCUUUGACUGAAUUCCAAGACAAUCUAGCUUUCUUCUUUUAUUGUCAUACACAUGGGUUUAUCAAACAUUCUCUACUAUUAACUUUUCUUUGUUUAUAAACGAUUCAUCAUAUCCUUGAAUAGCCCAUCUUAACACAUAAUGAUGUUUCCUUUUCUUCUUUGUUGAUGACUUGUCACAUGACAGAUGAUUAUAAAGCUAAUCCUGUUGUCAAUGAUUAGAUAUUCGACAAAUGAGAUUGUUGUUGAUUCCUUGUCUUGAUGUUGUCAUUGGUGACAUUCUUUUUUUUUCUCCCUUGAGGUCAUACAUCUUUCUCAAAGUGGGAGAUACACUCUGAAGUGAUUCCAUACUGAGACAACUAUUCAGUUGUGAGUCAGGAAGUUUGCAGCAUGCCUUCAUUGCUUUUUUAAUGUGCUCUUUGUACCUCACUUUUACAACACACAGAAUUGUUUUCAAGAUAGCCCGUAAGAGAUCUCGUCCCUCCAUAUUACCCCCAAAAGUAUUGGAGGGAGUGGAUGUAAAAUAAAUCAAGAAUCUUGACAUGUCAAUGAUAGAGUCCAAGUUUCACAGCCACUCAAAAAAAUUCAAAUGCAAACUACUCUAUAUUCCCAGCGUUGUGUGCAGUCAGAGGCCCUAAUUAUAAAAUAGUUCUUUUAUAAUGCCGAGGAAGAAAACGUGGAGUUUUGAAUUUCUUCAUAUACAUGUUCCCAAACUGACAACGAUACUUCCAAGUGAUGUGAUGUGCAUUUUGAAGCAAAGUAUCAUCAAUGAACAAUUGCACAGAAUUUGUUUUUCCUCAGGUACUUGCAGCAUUGACUUCAGUUUUUUUUUUUCUUUUUAACAAUUAAUUUUUAAUUCUGACACAUUGGUAAGUAUUUGAUGCUGAUAUUAUACUAUUCUAAAGCAAUUGUAGCUGAUAUGGAACAGCAGCUGAAUCACCCAUAUACUGGAGUUCAAACAGUGUUUUGAACCUUACUUUAACUCUACGGAGAUUACUAAAAACACCAUCUGAACAAUAACAGAUUCGAAUACCAUCAACUGAAUUGAUAUCUACUUGUGAGAAGAGUGGCAAUGAAUUAUAAACAUGUUGAAGGGCACAGAGACAAGAACACAAACUUGCUUCACUCUAACAUUAGCAUCAAAUGUUUUGGAUUCUUUCAAAUAUUAUCCAAGUUCACAUCCUUUCUUGAAACUGUCACAGAAGUCAGAGGAAUUUUGGUGGAUAACCACAUCCCUGUAAAACACAUCACAAAAUAUUUCUGUUGACUAUGAGAAGCUUUGGUAAGGUCUAUAAAGGCAAAGUACAUAUCUCAUUGUCAUUUUCAAUGAUUCAUGACAAAGAGACAAGAAAUGAAUAUAUCAGCUGUGUUUUGACUCAAAACUUACAGUGAAACUUUAGAAAAUCUCUGAACAGUGUUGAAAAAUUUUCCCCUCUAAUUCCAAGAUUUUUUUCUGCCACAUCAAAAAAAAAAGAGAUAUAUCUUGACUGUUUCUAAUAUCAGCUCUCUCUUAUAUACAGCGACACUGUUAGUGCAUUUCCAACAUAAAAGAAUUAUAGAGUUCUUUUAACAUAUAGUAAUAAUUUCAUUAAUUCUGGUUACUAAACUUACACUGCCAUAUUUGUAAAUUUCAUUUGGAAUAUUAUGUGUCAGGGAAUUUUCAGUUUUCCAGGUUUUGAAUUGCUGUCUGUAUUUCAUUUAGUAUUGGAUCAAAGAAAAUUUCAAGGAGUUUUUCACUUGUAGAUUGUUGGUAGAAUUACCCCAUAUUGAAUAGGAAACAGAAGUGCUCACCUCAUCAUUCAAGAAUUUACCCCUCAUUUUUUAUUAAGAUUUGUUCAUUAUAAGAGUAUAAAAGUGUACCAAGUCAACUGUGCACAGCUAAGGUCCAUUUACUGUUUUAAGCACAUUGUAGAACUUGUUCUUUAUUAGUGAUUGGGUUACAUAUGACAUAGUCUGUCAAUUUCAUUUUGUAACAUGUUGUAACAUGUUUUGUAUCAACAUUUGGUACAAGUUCUGGAGUAUUAAGAUUUUCCACCAUGCUAAUUUUGAGAAAUUGUAUUUUGUAACACAUUAUUAGAAUCUUGCUUCUUUUUUCAGCAAUUAUCCUUUGUGCAUGCAAUUUUAGAUAAUUUAGUACUCUAGUAAUAUUUUGCUAGGAUAGUUUACAACCUAUUAUUGUUUUGUUGAUUUUUCAAAUGUUUUAUUGCUUCCCCACUACUUUACUUUUAAGAAUAUAUGGCUCUAAACCUUCUUCUGGUCUUUCUUAUCCCAGAGUGUACAUAAUGUUAAAUCUCUUCUAAUGGAAUACUAAUAUAGUCCCUUCACAUAUUGUCCAUCUUUCCUCAGUUCAUGUUCUAUAUAUCAGCAUGUUAUUAUUUUUGUCUUCAAUGAAACUAUUCUCUAUUUAGCCCAUCUUUGGCAAUUUGGUAUGUCCAUUUCCAUCUGAUUUCUGUUAAACCCUUCUUGCAGGGUUCUAGAAAGGUUUCAAUGCUUGUAAAACAGAUAAUUGAAAUGAAAACCAAGGUCUGGAGAGGAGCACUGUAAAAGUGUGACAUUUCAUAGUAAUUGAUUGGAACACUGAGACAACUAUGCAAGAAAAGUAUUUGGUGCAGUUCUGGAAGACAAGGAAAUAAUGCAAAGAUGAAGCAAAUGUUGAACUGGGACAAAGCUGCUGCCUAUUAUAACCAGGACUUUUCAACAUAUUUCUUGAACAAAUCCUGACUGGUACCCAAGAAGAUUCUGAAGGCACAGGAUUGGCAGAAGAUUAAUUGCACCCUUAAGAUUUCCAGACAAUGUUGAUCUGUUAGCCUGUCCUAAAAGUGAAUUAUUUGAUAUUAGGAGAUUAGAUAUUUAUUCAAGAAAUAUGGUGAGGAGAAUUUGGGUUAUGGGGAUGAAAGAACUGAGAUACAGACGUGAAUUGAAAUAGAACAAUUAGCGAUCAAAGAUCUGGAACAGCAAAAACAUUACAAUGAGUAACAAGCUAUGGCUAAUACAAUCUAUGAUAAGUGCAAUUGUUUUGUAUGGAUGGGAGACAUAGACAUGCUCAAAUAGCAUGGAGAACCCAUGCCAGCAUGGAAAAUAGAUGCUAAAUAAUGACAACGAUGAAAUUGUCAGUAUUCAAGAUGAGGUGCUUUCAGAAUUGUUGGCAUUACUUAACAGGAAUCGCAGACAAACCAGUCAGUCUUAGAAUAACUUAAUGCAUUAAUUAGGUAAAAAGAAAGACUGACAGAAAUAGCAUGUCAAAGAAAAAUGCAGUAUUUCAGUCACAAUAGUAAAAUGACUAGGUUGCUUGCAAAUAUAAUCAUGUCUGGAAAAAUAGAUGGCAAAAGGAAAGACUAGCUCAAUGAUAUUCAGAUAUGAACUGGAAUAAGAACAUCAGAUUGCAUAAAAACAGCCCAAAAUCAAGAAUGAUGGAAAAGGUUAAGAAAAGAUAUUCAAAGACCUCAAUAGUGAAUAUAUGGUAAUGUUUUGACUUGAUUUGACUAAUAUUUUGAUUAGCUAAUGAAGCAGUGUUAAAGUGUUUCAUGUGCUGAAUGUAGAAUGAACUGAAAUGCACAUUUUUUAACAUAUCAUCUGAUAAUCCAUCAAGCAUCGAGCCCUCUACAUGGUCUAAAUCAUUAGACUGUCCUGAAAGUCCCUUUAUCAAAUAAUAAUGUAACCAAAAGAUGAUCACUUCUUAUAUCAAUCUGCCUCCACAAUGUUUUGUACAUAUAUUCUUGAUAAAAUGUUUGUGAUAUACAAUUUAUUCUCUGAGUAGAAAGUGAGAAAACACAGGUAAUUUUAGAUCAUUUUACUAACCCUUUGUUUAUUUAUUGAAUUGAAGUCACCAAAAUGAGUUUUCAAAGUUGGCUCUGUAAAACUUAUCUUUUACCUUUCUGUUGGUACUUAAGGUUGAUUCCUAAAAACUGUAGAUAGUUAUAAACUUGGUUCUUAGACAGAAGAAUAUGUAAUGUUGUUAUACAUUCAUUUAUUCCUAGAGGGGUAUCAAGGAGGGUGUGAAAAAUUAGGUUCUUGAUUGUAUUGUUAACACCAUGAAUUGCUGGUAGAUUAGUUCACCAUUUAAAAAAUAGUGUAACUACUGCAAUUUAUCUGGCUUUCAUAGUUUCAGGACUGCUGAAAGAUAUGACUGAGAUCAGCUUCUGAGUCAUGUGAAAUCAGAGCAAGCAUUCUUUUAGCCCACAUUUACUAGGUCCCUUUAUAUGUGCUAUCCUUAAAUAAAGUUGUUUACCACAUAGGUAUGACUGGAAGAUGUCUUUGCUCUGAGGACAGAAUUCAAUGACCAUUUAGUCCAUGUGUAUUAUAUUGUAGGACAAUUUCCAACCAAUGUCCUGAGCCUGAUCCUAUUGUGAGCAUUCCAUCAACAAAGGACUUUAUGUAGAUAAUCGGAAGAGCCUGCACAAUGAGCUGUUUGAGGUAUUGAAGCUGGGCAAGCUUCAGCAUAGAAUUGAACUCCUAAUAACUGUUCUCAAAAUGAUAGGUAUCUCAUGUUUGUUGGAGUGAGCUGCUAGACACCUUAUAUAUUGAGGUACACUUUGAAGUUAUUAUUUUGUGUCAAAAUAGAUCUGUAAGCCAGUCCACCUGGCCCACUGAUACUCAUUGUAAGAGCCAUAUGGCUAAGACUGUGAGGCAUUGAUAUACUUGCUACAUGAACCACAGACAUAUUUCUAUUCUUGCACCACCUUGCAAACAUUUCAGGUAAGGGAGUUCUAUUGAGUGUCAGAAAUUGGAGCUGAUUAUAUUUGCCUGUAUUUUCAACCUUAUAUCCAUUUUGUUUUUACAGAACAUGUCAUCAUAAUGUCAUAGUAAAAGAAAACUUGCUAAUGUAUUUAAAAAACAAAAUCACUGUAUAAAAUCUUCUUAAUUUCUAUAACUUUCACACAUGUUAUGUUAGUCUUACAUUCACAUACAAACCAGAUUAUGAAUUAUUAUUAAUGUCUCUUUUACCACUCUUGAACUCAACAAUACUGUAAUUUUAUCUCUCUAACAUAAUUCCUUUGCUUCUUUUACAAAUUCCCCAUACACCCAGCCUUCAAAAAUGAUUUGUUUUAUACAUUUAUUAAAUCUGUUGUUCUAUCAUUUACCUCUUAACUCUUUCAUAGCAAUAUUUUUAUCUCUAUACAUCUUUUAUCUUUUACUUGUUUCAGUCAUUGAACUGUGGCCAUGUUGAUGCACUGACUUGAAGGGUUUAGUCAAAUAAAUUGACCUUGGUACUUAUCUAUGAGUUUGGUACUUUUCACUGAAAUUAUUUAUAGGGAUGUAAACCAACAUCAGUUGUAAAAAAAAACACAUACAGAUAUAUAUGAUGAGUGUCUUUCAGUCUAACAAAUUCAGUUACAAAGCUUUGGUGGUCAGCCCAAGGCUAUAGUAGAAGACAUUUGUCCAACGUGCCACACAGUGGAACUGAACCCAAAACCAAAUCAAGAACUUGGAUGGCUGUAGUAAAAUAACAAACUUUAUCAUUAUUAAGUUGGUGCCUGGAAUGUAGCAUAAAAUUAUAAUGGAAUAUGAACAUUAUAGGUUCACAUAGUAAAAUGAACAGUCCUGUCAGAAACAGAGGCAAUCUCAGGUGGGUUGGUUUCUGUAUUGAUUGUAACUAUCUGAGGUAUAGUCAUUUGAUAGCUUUCUUUCAGUAAGAAUUAAUGAUUUGUUCUUAGCUUUGACUUAAUAUUUUUGAACUCCAUUUGUUAUUUUCUUCUUUUUGUUUCUUUAACUACUUUAUUUUAACCGACCUUCAAAACUUGCACUUUACGAAUUGAGAUAAAAAUUUAUAUUUAAUUUUAAAAUAUUUGAACAAGAAUGUUACUUCUUAACCUUUAUUGAUCAUAAUUUCUUAUCAUAGUAUGUUCCAUGUUUAUCCAAUUUAACAUUGUCAUGAAGUUCACAACUUAAAUGUGUGCAUGUGAAAAUAACUAUAAUAUACUUUGCAAACUAUUUUAUUAUAAUAAACAUUUAACAUACUUUUAGGAAAUUAUUCUCUGAUAAGGGUUAAGUUUCCUUGAUACUGGAGCUAUUAUAUUUCUUGUGUUUUGUAAAAUUUAAUUUUAUUAGUCAACCUUAAAUUGGAAAGGUUAUAUUUAGCCCAUCUUUAAUCCGAAAGGUUAUAUUUAGAUAUUUUAAUAAAAUAUAUUUUUGUUCUCUUCUCUAAAAAUAUCACACACAUACACUCAAAUACAUUAAAAAUAUUUAAUUCAUAUCUCAGAUGAAAAUAAAAAAAAUAAAUUACUGGAAUGCAAUGAAUUUAAGUUUGUGUAACAUAUCAAAUCUAAUAAUAUAACCAUAACUGCUAUCAGCGCAUUUGUGUGUUCUGUAACUGUUAAAUGUCAACAGCUAUUGAUAUAAAUUGUUUUCCUUAGUGGAAUAUGAAUUUCUCUUUAUGUUAGUCUACAUUUAUAUAGUAACUAUAAACAACAUACAAAGAGAACUUCAUAUACUUUUGAACUCUAAUUUAAGUACAAUAAUUGAAAUUCAACCUGCCAUGAUCUCUAGGGAUAACAUUCUGCAGUUUAAUAAUUUAUGAAUCUGCACCACUACAUUUACCCAGAAGCAUAUAUUUUGGAUACUAAUUAAAUUACAAUAGAAACUUUUUCAAUUAUGUAUAGAGCAUUUAAUGAAAGUAUUUUCUAUUUCAGUCUUAACUGGCAUAGUUUUUCAUAAUAGAUUCUGUAAGGACAACUACUCUAAUAUCUAUGAAAAUCUCACUAAGUUUAUUUUAAGAUGGUAUAAAGAUAGCUACUUUGAAGGUAAACUCAUCUUUAAAAACUACCUCUGGUAUAUUGUCCAUUUAUAUAUCUUCUCUGUGCCACUUGUGUUGCUACUAGACUGUUCUUCAAAACUUUUUGCAUAACUUGUAUUUUGACUGUCUCAUUCAAACGUACAUUUCCUAUUCCAUCUUGGAACUCUCUUCGUAAAAUCUAUACAAAACACUUUAUCAUGCAGUAGCAAUGAUCCGGAAUUGCCUUUCUCACAUUAAACCCUAUGACAUUGAUUAUAUUUACAUCUUACACCUCUAGUCCAUAACAAGAUUGUUUGAUUUCAAAGGACUUACUUUAUAGAUAUAUUUUACAUAACCAAGGUGGCUAUGCAUACAAGUAAGAAUGAUACACAAUUUUAUUCAUGUCUUCUUAACUCAAUAUCAUAAAAACCUCACAUAAUUCUUUGAACUUACUAGCAAUAUUUUUUUAGCCUUACCAAUUGCUCAAAAAGAAUAUCUCUAACUUAUGUAAGUCCUUCAUUAUUUCCAACUAGCAAUUGCAAUAUAUUCUUUAAAUAGCUUCCGUAUCAAUUUCUAUCACUUUUUCCUAUGUUCUCCUCCUGUUAUAUAUCCUUGUGCUAAGUUAACUUUCAAUUCUGUUCACUUUUAUUUUAACCUUCACUUUGUAGGGUUGAUUAUUUAACCCAAAGAACAUGGUUUUGGAUAUGUUUGUAUUGUCAAAGGGGAAGAGGAAUCUAACAUCUCAGGACUGACCAUUCAUUUGUGAGAAAAUAAAUUUUCCAACUAGUUGAUAAAUUUAUUUUGUACCAAAUGAAGUGUCAGCCCUGAAAUGAUAUAUUCCCACCUCUGCCCAUGACAUAAACUUAUUCAAAGUCAUGUACUUCAUUUCAAAAGUUUUGUCAAUGCAGACCACCACCAGUUACUUUGGACUUUAUUAUGCAUUUAAACUAAAGUAAUUUUUGAUACCUACAUAUAUGUCUUUUCAUUAAAAAAUGCUUAUUUAGAUCCAUUUCUAGUAUUUUUAUCUCAAGUAUAAUUAUGACAAAUUUGGGAAAAAAACCCACCUUCAUCCAUUAACAUACUGAAGCUAUUUAUCAUCUUGUCUGAUUUAUAUCUAUGUCCCCACACAUAUGGACUCCAUGUCCACAUACUGAAAUCCCAGGCAACAUUUGACAACUGACUUUGUUUUAUUUAAUGUGUAUUCUAUCAUGAAAAAGAAAGGCUUUCUAGCAAUUCCAAUUUACUAAAAAAUUUGAACUUUUUAGCUAAUAUCCGUUUUAAAGUUCAAAGAUUCAUUGAAUAUUAAAAUGAAAUCUUGUUCUUUUGUGAAUAGGUAUACAUUUUUCUUAUCAAAUCUAUAGUUUACAUUUGAUCCGCUUAAACAAUAUGUUACUCUUUUACUUGUUUCAGUCAUUUGACUGUGGCCAUGCUGGAGCACCGCCUAUAGUCGAGCAAAUCAACCCCAGAUUUAUUCUUUGGAAGCCUAGUACUUAUUCUAUCGGUCUCUUUUGCUGAACUACUAAGUCAUGGGGAUGUAAACACACCAGCAUCAGUUGUCAAGUGAUGUUGGGAGGACAAACACAGACACACAAACACACAUAUAUAUAUAGAUAUACAUGAUGGGUUUCUUUCAGUUUCUGUCGACCAAAUCCACUCACAAGGCUUUGGUUGGCCCGAGGUUGACAAUCUAAACCUUUCUGAAGCUCUUUUUAUAGUAUAUACACUAACUUCUUAGUUGAUAUGCAUUGCAACAUUUUGCUUUUGUUAGGAAAAUGUGAGAGUUUACUGCUACUACAAAUAUAAUUAUCAAUUUAAUUAUAGGCAGUGAAGUUGAUGAACAGAAGUGCUGAAGUAAAAGAAUUUUUAUUUGUUUCACAAAAUUUACAUUCUGCCAAAGUCAAUUUUACCUUCCAGCUCCUUACGGUUGAUUAAGUAAAUACCAAUCUAUACUGAGGUCAAUUUAAUCAACUAGACCUCUGUACCCACUCCACAAACACACACACUUAAAAUAAAUGUCAUUUACAAAUAAUAAAUAGAGCCAGAAUGUAUCAGACAUUAAACAGAUAUUGAACUAGACUAUAUGCAGUAGAAAAAUAAAAUAGAUCCUUUACUGUUAACCUCCUUUGCUGUUUGUACAAGAGACAUUGGUAGAUAUGGUGAAAUAAAAUUUAGGUUAAGAGUAAUAAAUGUAUAAUUUCAAAAUUAUUCAAUUGUACAGUAACAAUUUUAUUAAUAAGUUCUUUGAUUUCUAAUUUUCCCACAUUUUAGUAUAAAAUCCACUAUUACAGUGAGUCAUUUUUGAAAUAAAAAAGGUGACCUAUAAAUUAUUCAAAAUAUCAUACAUAGCACAUGUACCUCCCACACAUGCAUAUGUACACAAAUGCACAUAUCCAGAAUUAUAUUUAUUAAAUAUUAAUUAUCACUGUUCCCUUGGUUAUUGUUCUUUCAUCUCCAAUAAAAAAAAUGUUAAUAUCAUUUUCUGUAUUCCAAUUUGAGAACAUUAUCUAAUUAACUAAAUUACUUUCCCCUUAUGUUUCCUCAAAUGUUCCUUUCAUCUAUUAAGUUCUAAUAAUAAAUUCUUCAUUCUCAUUUCAUGACAUCUGAAAACUCUGUAAACAAUAGUACAAUUAAAGCUAAAACUGCCUGUCUAAUGUCAGACACUAUACCUCCUGUACAAUUUUUUAAGGUUAAUUACUAGCCAUUGUUUUACACCUUGCAUAAAUUUCUGUUAGAACCAGUUCUAACAAUAAAUAAUGAACCAAAUUUUUAUAAGCAUCAGUUGAUGUGUUGUAAGGAUUAUUUUCUCCGUAAUUUUAUACAUUGGCCUCAAUCUGUAUUCCCUUGUUGAAUAUCAUCAUAAAACGCCUUCCUGUUCCUACCCAUCUCAAACUCUUUACGCACCUUCAACAGACAGCCUUUAUUUCUAAACAUUUAUUCUCCUUCUCGGUGCUUCUGUUAUCUUCUCAACCAUCUUUUCUUAUACCUUGAUCACAUCUUUCAGCCAAAAAAUAAUCAUAAAAAAUAUAAAAAAAAAAAAAAUGUAAAAGGAUAAAACAUUAUUGUGUCUUUGAUGAAAGCAUUGUAUUUUUGUAUCUUUGAAA